Long non-coding RNA from Mastomys coucha (southern multimammate mouse), 467 nucleotides. RefSeq lists it as uncharacterized. Lineage: Eukaryota; Metazoa; Chordata; Mammalia; Rodentia; Muridae. The record is from RefSeq and is a predicted model, not a curated record. The transcript has 3 exons.
CACUUGGAAGUGGUGGAUCCCAGCCUGCAGAAUAAAGUGCUCCUUGCCUUUUCAUACUCUUUGGUAUCAUUCUUCAGGGAAUCAUGGACCCUUACACUGAUGUGUGCCGUAACUUCCACGAACAGGGGUGGGGGUGGGGCAUUCUGUCUGUAGAUCUGUUUUGAGUUGAGGUCUAAAAGGAUAGUUAUGCAUGAGUCAGCUGACCGUUCCUAGCCUCAGUUUCCUCCUCUGCAGCCUGAGACAGUUCAAGAGCAGCCGCAACACAUUGUAAUGCUCCAUGGCUCCUGUAUCCUGACAUCACUGACUUUCUGUGGGUCUGCAUCACUACUCGGCAUGGCUCCUUUAUAUAUUUGUUGUUCAUCUUGAAGAUGAAGAAAUGGGGACUUGGAGCAGUGAGAUAUCUCUACCCAACAGGCUCUGCUUAUAUGUUAAAAUGCUGUGACUUCAAAGAACAGAAAGCCCCCACC